Molecule: small nucleolar RNA, 127 nt
Organism: Sciurus vulgaris (Eurasian red squirrel)
Lineage: Eukaryota; Metazoa; Chordata; Mammalia; Rodentia; Sciuridae
Source: Ensembl
AGCACUUGUGUGUGUUUUUGUUUAACUGUGGACAAAGACUUGUAGACAAGUGCAAAAAUUAAAUCCUCUUUUGCAACCCAGAACUCUUUGUUCAGUAUGAGUUUUGAUACAUAUAAGCAGGAAUACU